GACGAACGCUGGCGGCGUGCUUAUCACAUGCAAGUCGAACGGAAAGGCCCUGCUUUUGUGGGGUGCUCGAGUGGCGAACGGGUGAGUAACACGUGAGUAACCUGCCCUUGACUUUGGUAUAACUUCAGGAAACUGGGUCUAAUACCGGAUAGGAGCUCCUGCUUCAUGGUGGGGGUUGGAAAGUUUCGGCGGUUGGGGAUGGACUCGCGGCUUAUCAGCUUGUUGGUGGGGUAGUGGCUUACCAAGGCUUUGACGGGUAGCCGGCCUGAGAGGGUGACCGGCCACAUUGGGACUGAGAUACGGCCCAGACUCCUACGGGAGGCAGCAGUGGGGAAUAUUGCACAAUGGGCGGAAGCCUGAUGCAGCAACGCCGCGUGCGGGAUGACGGCCUUCGGGUUGUAAACCGCUUUCGCCUGUGACGAAGCGUGAGUGACGGUAAUGGGUAAAGAAGCACCGGCUAACUACGUG
This 468-nucleotide ribosomal RNA is filed under the name uncultured bacterium. RNAcentral's name for it is "partial 16S ribosomal RNA". It matches the Rfam family "Bacterial small subunit ribosomal RNA", at positions 28 to 507 of the family's 1533-position model. The record is from RNAcentral.